Molecule: RNA transcript, 3519 nt
Organism: Diospyros lotus (date-plum)
Lineage: Eukaryota; Viridiplantae; Streptophyta; Magnoliopsida; Ericales; Ebenaceae
Exons: 18
Source: RefSeq, a predicted model, not a curated record
AAUGGCUAGUCUUCAGUCUCCACUUGCCCUUGUGUGUUGUUUUUCCGGGUAAAUGGCAUAGGGAUGCAAAGUGGGGAAUUUGAUGCGCUUGCGCUUCCCGCUUCCAUCUUCCUCUUUCCAAAUACAAAACCUAGCGUCUCUCUCUCUCCCCAACAUCAUGAUGAUGAUGUCGAAGACGUUCAAAGGAUCGAACGUGUUCCUGUCCCGGAGCCUGGUUCCGCCGGAGAUCUUCGACACCCUUCACGACGCUCUCAAGCACAAUGGCGCCGACGUUUUCCUCUGCUGCGACCCUUCCAGAAACGGCCCCAACGAUUUCCAUGUCAUCUCCUCCAACCAACACGAAAAGUUCGACGAUCUCCAGAAAAAGGGCUGUCGUUUGCUUGGUCCUCAAUGCGUGCUUUCUUGUGCAAAAGAACACAGACCUCUUCCUACUCAUGGGUUCUCUUGUUGCCUUGCAUUGGAUGGGGUCAAAGUACUGGCAUCUGGUUUUGAGAUGGAUGAAAAGUCUGAGAUUGGAAAGAUGGUGGCCGCUAUGGGUGGAGUGUUACAUAAUAAAGCUUCCAUGGAUCUCAGUUUUGUUAUUGUAAAGAAUGUUUUGGCUGCAAAGUAUAAGUGGGCUUUAAAUGUUCUAAAAAAACCAAUUGUCACAUUAAGCUGGUUACACCAGUGUUGGAAGGAACAUCGUGUCGUUCCUCAGGAGUCAUACAGGGUUCUUCCAUUUUCUGGAUUGACAAUUUGUGUUACCAGAAUUCCUGCAGAUGAGCGGAGGCAGGUGGAGAAGCUUGUGGUGCAAAAUGGUGGAAAAUAUUCUGCUGAAUUGACCAAGAAGUGUACUCAUUUAAUUUGUCAGGCCGCUGAAGGAGACAAAUACAAAGUAGCUAGAAGAUGGGGUCACAUUCAUAUAGUUACACAGAAAUGGCUUGAUCAAUCUGUAGCUAGAAGAGCGUGUCUUAAUGAGGAGUCCUAUCCUGUUCAAGGUGGGCCAACAUCUUCAAUCAAUGGUAUAAGGGUUUGUUUGUCAGCACAGCACAGUGAAGACAGAGGUGGAGGGAAUUCACAGUGUGCCCCAUCCUCGGUGGCUGGAGAUACAAGGCUGGAAGCUGGUUUAUCUGCUGGGAUUACAGAUCAAGAUUUAGAGGCUACUCUCUCACAGAACAUAUCCACUGCAUGUUCAGAUGGUCCUGUCUGUGUGAAGGAGGAGAGUGGAGCGCCUCCUAUCCAGACUGGAAGUGAUACAAAUUUUGAUGAUGGUGUUGCUGAUGACUCUCAAACCGAAGACAACGAUCUGUACUUGUCAGAGUGCAGAAUUCUACUGGUUGGUUUUGAUGCCUCUGAAAUGCGUAAACUAGUCAACAUGGUUCGCCGAGGUGGUGGAUCUCGUUAUAUGUCAUCCAAUGAAAAAUUGACCCAUAUAGUUGUUGGAACUCCUUCAGAGAUUGAAAAAAAGGAUAUCAGGGGGCUUGCAGCUUUGGGUGUUAUUUAUGUGGUCCGGACCUUGUGGCUUGAAGAUUGUGUUCGUGAAAAGAAAGAAGUGCCUGUACUCAGGAGGCACAUGGCUUAUGAUUUAAUUCUUCCAAAUGAACCUGUAUGCUCUAAUAAAGGAGUUACAAUGAGCAUUGCUGGCAUGAAACAGUGGAAAGCUGCUAGUCCUCAUUCUAGUUUACCGGGUGAUCUGUUACCAGGGGCUACAAAUUCAAAUUUAAUGGGUAAAAGCAAUGAAAUAGAGGUUAAUAUAAAUGAGAAGAGCUCUUUCAGGGCAAGGACAAGAACUGAUACACAAAGCCAAUUUAGUGCUUUUAAUGGUAAGGACAAGGAUCAACAAAAGAUACAACUUGAUACAUUCAAUGAAGUUCAGGACAUGAAGUCAUCGAGUGUAUUCAGGGGGAAGCUAUUUCGGUUUGCAAGUUCCUUUCCUCAUGACAGGAGAUCAGAAGUUAUUCAAUGGGUUAAUCAAGGGGGAGGGGAGGUUGUGGAUGUUCAGAGUGAACAGAAUGUGCACUUUACUGUUGAUUGCCAUGGUGUGGUACCGGAACCUCGUAAUGCAUUGAGAACAAUGAGUGUAUCCAGUCACUGGAUUCGAUCUUGUUUAGAGGAUGGCUGCUUGCUGGAUGUUGACAGUCAUAUUCUCUAUUCUCCACUGCCAUGCCGGAUUCCUUUGCCUGGAUUCGAAAAUUUUCGUUUCUGUGUUUCACAGUAUGCUGAGAAGGACAGACUGCUACUUAGAAAUUUGUGCUUUGUUCUUGGAGCCAAAUUUGUUGAAAAAUUGACUAAAAAAGUCACCCAUUUAUUAUGCAAGUUUACCGGUGGUCCAAAAUAUGAGGCUUCUUGUAAAUGGGGGAUUCAGUCAGUUACAUGCGAGUGGAUUUAUGAGUGUGUUAAGCAGAAUGGAGUUAUUGCACCAGGUCCAUUUUGUCCAAAGGAAGUUACUUCUCAAGACCAAGAGGCUGGGCUCUGUACUUCAACCCAAUAUCCCACCCAAGCCACUAGAAUGACAUCUGCAGAUUGUGCAUCUGAGGUUCCAAGUCAGUCUCAGGACCUGAGCAAUUUACAGAAUCAAGCUAUUUGUAGAAGCAACAAUGGCAGGGAAGACACUGUACUUUCAAGCAAAAGUUGUAAAAGGUUAAGGAUUCUUGAAGGUGAUGGUAGUGAGGUUCUUAUAUCUUCUAGAUUGAAUCAAACUGCUCCUACCACCACGAUGGCUUCCACAAAAAACAGCUUAAUUCAAAAUAGCAGGGAAGUGCCUCUUCCUGUACCUGAUGUAGCUGCAGCUAUUGAGGAUCUGUUAGAGCAAACUACAAAGAUUCACGAUCUGAAGUCCCCAAGAAAUACUGGAUGUGAUAAAAGCCUUUUCUCGUCUGAUUGUUCAAUACUUGGUCAAGAACAUGCAGAUCCUCACUCUGCCUUUGGGUUGGCCAAGCAUUGGUUAAAUAGGGAUGACAGAAAGGAGGAUAUCUGCAAUCCUCCUGGAGACGCAAAUGUGGGCAUGUAUGAUGGCUUUAGUGAAACACAGACGGAGUCUCAGGUUGUUGGUUAUGAAGAAGAUUUAUCCGGCAGGCAAAUGAUAAUAGAUAGAGUCCGAACAAGGAGUAGCAUGAUUUGAAUCAAUUGGGUAGGUCCAACAACAUGCUGAAUUCAGGGUUCAAGAAAUUGAACAAUACUGCCAUACUGGAUGAAGUUAUCCGGUCGCCAACAUGCUUGAAGUUGAGGACACCAUAUUGUAGAGGAAAGAUGAAGAUACAGCAUCAGCUCUAUUGCUUUUGGGUUCAUGUAUUUUGUAUUUUGUAUUUUGUAGGAACCUUAGUGUUUAAGAUCUUGAAACACGUCAUAAUGAAAAUAAACUGUAGUCCAAUACCGUCCGCCCUUUGAUCUUAAGCAAGUUGGAGAUCGAACCAUGUUAAUUACUGGCUACAGAUUUUCAUGCACAGGCUUCAUCUGGGAGGCAAUCAGAGUUGUCCCCUCGAUUGUGAUCCUGUACAAAUGGAUUUCACCAAAUUUAGUGCAAGACAUAUAAUUACUAAA